Long non-coding RNA from Pygocentrus nattereri (red-bellied piranha), 533 nucleotides. RefSeq lists it as uncharacterized. The record is from RefSeq and is a predicted model, not a curated record. NCBI's taxonomy places the organism in Eukaryota, Metazoa, Chordata, Actinopteri, Characiformes, Serrasalmidae. The transcript is spliced from 3 exons.
AUCAGAAGCUCGGCCCUGAUUUGUCCAAGAGCUGUUUAUGAACUGAAACCCUAAACUGCACUGGUAUAUGCACUGGUGUAAGUUGCCAUGGUGGGAUGAUGGAAUACUGCAGCUGUGUGGAAUAGCAGGCCUCUAAAAGCAAUAUGUGGAGCGGACCUGAGCAGCUUCGUUUUCACCAUGCACAAAUGAAACACACCACAAACAAACAACAAUCAAACCUGCACUAUUUUACAGUUCAAUGUGAGACCACUUAAAUGCUGAAAUAGGCCAGAUGGGUGAACAGGCUCAGUCUUGAAGGGGGUGUUUAGUCACUAUGAAGAUUCGAGCAGGCCGCAAUGCAGCCCUUUCACGCAAGCUCUGCAGUCUCUGCCCACCAGCACCCUGUCGGCCUGUAUUAAUGGUGCGAUCACAAAGCAUUAUUCGGGAAAGUUCUGCAUGGAGGCUGAGAUGUUAACAGUCUCUACCCUUCUGAGAGGGCUUUUACUAGAUGUUGGAACAUUGGUGUGAGGAUUUGAUAGGAGCCACAAGAGCAU